RNAcentral lists this ribosomal RNA (993 nucleotides) under Triticum aestivum (bread wheat). RNAcentral describes it as "partial small subunit ribosomal RNA". The record is from RNAcentral. Lineage: Eukaryota; Viridiplantae; Streptophyta; Magnoliopsida; Poales; Poaceae.
AUGGUUGUUCUAUCAGUUGCUUUGCAGUACUACAUCCACCUCAGGUUGAAUUAUGAUCUUGGAUGGAAAAAAAUUAAAGUUAUUCUCUCUGAUGCCAAUUUUCCUGGUGAAGGGGAGCACAAAAUCAUGUCCUACAUUCGUGGCAAUAGGAACCUCUGUAAUGAACUUAACGCAAAUACCCGACAUUGCCUGUAUGGCCUGGAUGCAGAUCUGAUCAUGUUAGGUCUAGCAACACACGAAGUACACUUCUCCAUACUGAGAGAGGUGGUGUUUACACCUGGACAGCAGGACAAAUGCUUCCUGUGUGGUCAAGUUGGACAUCUAGCAGCAAAGUGUGAAGGAAAGGCAAAACGGAAAGCUGGGGAGUUUGAUGAGAAGGGUGAUGAAAUAGUACCAAAGAAACCUUACCAGUUCUUGAAUAUAUGGACCCUACGAGAGUACCUAGAAUACGAGUUCAGAAUGCCAAAUCCACCUUUCAAGAUUGAUCUUGAACGCAUCAUUGAUGAUUUCAUCUUCAUGUGCUUUUUUGUUGGCAAUGAUUUUCUUCCACACAUGCCGACACUAGAGAUUAAGGAGAGAGCUAUUAAUUUGCUAAUUGCUGUAUACAAGAAGGAAUUUCCUAAUAUGGGUGGCUAUUUAACUGACACUUGCACACCGGAUCUGAAUAGAGUUGAACACUUCAUUCAAGCAGUUGGUUCAUACGAGGAUAAAAUAUUUCAGAAAAGGGCUCGUUUGCACCAGCGUCAAGCUGAAAGAAUAAAACGUGAUAAAGCCCAAGCAAAGCGAGGCGAUGAUUUGGAUCCCCAUGUCAGUGGUGAUCUUAUUGUACCUGUUGCGCGAUUCCAAGGGUCUCGCCUUGCCUCUGGGGCUGUGGCUUCACCAUAUGAACAUAAUGGGUCUCAUAAAGAUAGCACGGAAAAGGGUGGUCGAGCUAAGAAAGCACGUGUAUCAUCUUCAGAUUCCAGCCUUUCUGCUGCUACGAACCGGUACUAA